Molecule: ribosomal RNA, 337 nt
Filed under: uncultured bacterium
Lineage: Bacteria
Description: partial 16S ribosomal RNA
Rfam family: Bacterial small subunit ribosomal RNA
Source: RNAcentral
CCUACGGGAGUCAGCAGUGAGGAAUAUUGGUCAAUGGGCGGGAGCCUGAACCAGCCAAGUCGCGUGAGGGAAGACGGUCCUAUGGAUUGUAAACCUCGUUAGGCGGGGAGCAAUGCCGGGCACGCGUGCCCGGAGGGAGAGUACCCGCAGAAUAAGCAACGGCUAACUCCGUGCCAGCAGCCGCGGUAAUACGGAGGAGGCGAGCGUUAUACGGAUUUAUUGGGUUUAAAGGGUGCGUAGGCGGAUUUUUAAGUCAGCGGUAAAAUGUCCGGGCUCACCCCGGUCCGGCCGUGGAAAAUGGGGAUCUUGAGUGGGCGAGAAGUAUGCGGAAUGCGUG